AUUGAACGCUGGCGGCAUGCUUUACACAUGCAAGUCGAACGGUAACAGGGAGCUUGCUCCGCUGACGAGUGGCGAACGGGUGAGUAAUAUAUCGGAACGUACCCAAGAGUGGGGGAUAACGUAGCGAAAGUUACGCUAAUACCGCAUACGAUCUAAGGAUGAAAGCAGGGGAUCUUCGGACCUUGUGCUCCUGGAGCGGCCGAUAUCUGAUUAGCUAGUUGGUGAGGUAAAGGCUCACCAAGGCGACGAUCAGUAGCUGGUCUGAGAGGACGACCGGCCACACUGGAACUGAGACACGGUCCAGACUCCUACGGGAGGCAGCAGUGGGGAAUUUUGGACAAUGGGCGCAAGCCUGAUCCAGCAAUGCCGCGUGAGUGAAGAAGGCCUUCGGGUUGUAAAGCUCUUUUGUCAGGGAAGAAACGGGAGUGGCUAAUAUCCAUUCCUAAUGACGGUACCUGAAGAAUAAGCACCGGCUAACUACGUGCCAGCCGCCGCCGUAA
Molecule: ribosomal RNA, 500 nt
Filed under: uncultured bacterium
Lineage: Bacteria
Description: partial 16S ribosomal RNA
Rfam family: Bacterial small subunit ribosomal RNA
Source: RNAcentral